Molecule: ribosomal RNA, 253 nt
Filed under: uncultured bacterium
Lineage: Bacteria
Description: partial 16S ribosomal RNA
Rfam family: Bacterial small subunit ribosomal RNA
Source: RNAcentral
UACGAGAGGCCCAAACGUUAUUCGGAAUUACUGGGCUUAAAGAGUUCGUAGGCGGCAUGAAAAGUAGGGUGUGAAAGCCCUCGGCUUAACCGAGGAAUUGCGCUCUAAACUGUCGUGCUUGAGGAAGCUAGAGGUGAGCGGAACUGAUGGUGGAGCGGUGAAAUGCGUUGAUAUCAUCAGGAACACCGGAGGCGAAGGCGGCUCACUGGGGCUUUUCUGACGCUGAGGAACGAAAGCCAGGGUAGCGAACGGG